GACUUUCAUCAACGGAUCUCUUGGUUCUGGCAUCGAUGAAGAACGCAGCAAAAUGCGAUAAGUAAUGUGAAUUGCAGAAUUCAGUGAAUCAUCGAAUCUUUGAACGCACAUUGCGCCCGCCAGUAUUCUGGCGGGCAUGCCUGUUCGAGCGUCAUUU
Molecule: ribosomal RNA, 157 nt
Filed under: Fusarium equiseti
Lineage: Eukaryota; Fungi; Ascomycota; Sordariomycetes; Hypocreales; Nectriaceae
Description: 5.8S ribosomal RNA
Rfam family: 5.8S ribosomal RNA
About the family: 5.8S ribosomal RNA (5.8S rRNA) is a component of the large subunit of the eukaryotic ribosome. It is transcribed by RNA polymerase I as part of the 45S precursor that also contains 18S and 28S rRNA. Functionally, it is thought that 5.8S rRNA may be involved in ribosome translocation.
Source: RNAcentral